This 74-nucleotide transfer RNA is filed under the name Caudoviricetes sp. Its description in RNAcentral is "tRNA-Ile". It matches the Rfam family "tRNA". From Rfam's summary of the family: Transfer RNA (tRNA) molecules are approximately 80 nucleotides in length. Their secondary structure includes four short double-helical elements and three loops (D, anti-codon, and T loops). Lineage: Duplodnaviria; Heunggongvirae; Uroviricota; Caudoviricetes. The record is from RNAcentral.
AGUGGAAUAGCUCAGCGGGCUAGAGCAGUCGGCUUAUAUCCGACAGACCAUUGGUUCGAAUCCAAUUUCCACCA